UGCCGACCUUGCGCCGAGGAGGUCCCGCGCCGUCCGCCGACCCUGCUGCUUGCGCCGGCCGCCGGCCCGUGCCGAGGCGCGGCCCCCGCCCCGCGCACCAGACGCGCUGCCGUCCCUGCUUGUGCCGGCCGCCGCCUCGAGCACCAGACGCACCGCCGUCCCCGAGCCCCGGCGCCGACCCCAGCCGCACGCGCACUCCCGGAGUUCCGGCGCCGCCCUCGACGCCAGCGCUUCCCCCGCGAGGAGCUGCCGCGCCGCCGUCGCGAGGAGGUCCCAGCCUCCUACUCGCUCCUCCGCCCCUUGAUGUGCCUGCAUCAAGGUCACUUCAAGGAAAUAGACUGACUUGGGAGAAUUCUAGAAGUGAUUGGCCUCAUGCAGGCUCUUGCUGUCUUAGACCUGAGGGAGAAUGAACUGAUAGGGCCGAUUCCUCCUAUACUUGGCAACCUAUCAUACACUGGCAAACUCUAUUUACAUGGCAACAAACUUACUGGACACAUACCACCAGAACUGGGGAACAUGAGUAAAAUUAGCUACUUUUAAGAAACUGUUAUCUUAACAACUUUGCAUUUAUGUUGAUAUGUGAUCUUAAUGAAGUUCAACAUUACUUCCACCAGGCAGCUGAAUGAUAAUGAACUAUAAGGCACCAUUCCAGCUGAGCUUGGCAAGCUCACAGAAUUAUUUGAAUUAAAUCUUGCCAACAACAAUCUUGAGGGUCAUAUUCCUGCAAACAUCAGUUCUUGCAGUGCACUGAACAAAUUCAAUGUGUAUGGCAAUAGACUGAAUGGCUCUAUCCCUGGUGGUUUCCACAAGUUGGAGAGCUUGACAUACCUGAACCUUUCUUCAAACAAUUUCAAAGCCCAGAUUCCCUCUGAACUUGGCCGCAUAGUCAACUUGGACACACUGGAUCUUUCCUACAAUGAAUUCUCUGGACCAGUUCCUCCCACUAUUGGUGAUCUCAAGCAUCUUCUUUGUCAUGUGGGGCCGCCAAUAUCAGCGACGUUCUCGCGUGUGCAGCGCCAACGGUUCGGCGGAGCAGGCGUCGGCAACAAUCAGUGGCUAAAGUUUAGGAGAUUUAUUAGUUUAUUUCCUAAUUAAGUGGAGGCCUAGGUGCCUAUUCAUCCUUGUACCUGAACCCUUGGAGGAUUAAUGAAGAAUUACCAGCCUAAUCUCCUUCCUUCCUAAUCUCACCUCCUUCAAUAUUGGGCAGUUGGGCAACAACCCUGAUGCCAUUAGCCGCCGGAGCUACGAACUUCGUAGCCGCGGCCCUGCUGUCUUCGGCGUUGACGCCCUUGACAACCUGCUCCGCCAGCACUGCCUCCUAUGCACAACGGUGCCACCGUGCUAGAGCCGGAAUGCGUCGUGCGCAUGCGCCUUGCCAGGGGGGUUCGCCAGGUUCUCAUCUAGUGGAAAGGGGAACCUCCCUCUUCGGCCACAUGGGAAGAUCUCGACGGCUUCGCGGAUCGCUACCCUUCUUUCCAGCUCGAGGACGAGCUGCUCGUCGAGGGGUGGAGAGAUGUCAUGUGGGGCCGCCAAUAUCAGCGACAUUCUCGCGUGCGCAGCGCCGGCGGUUCGGCAGAGCAGGCGCCGGCAACAAUCAGUGGCUAAAGUUUAGGAGAUUUGUUAGUUUGUUUCCUAAUUAAGUGGAGACCUAGGCGCCUAUUUAUCCUUGUACCUGAACACUUGGAGGAGUAAUGAAGAAUUACCAGCCUAAUCUCUUUCUUCCUUCCUAAUUUCACCUCCUUCAACAUUGGGCAGCUGGGCAACAACCCCGACGCCAUUACCCGCCGGAGCUACGAACUUCAUAGCCGCGGUCCUGCUGUCAUGGGCGUUGACGCCCUUGACAUUCUUGAACUGAAUUUGAGUAAAAA
This is a long non-coding RNA of Panicum virgatum (switchgrass), 1868 nucleotides long. RefSeq lists it as uncharacterized. The record is from RefSeq and is a predicted model, not a curated record. NCBI's taxonomy places the organism in Eukaryota, Viridiplantae, Streptophyta, Magnoliopsida, Poales, Poaceae. The transcript is spliced from 9 exons.